AUGAACAGUCCUUUGACAAUAAUAGGAAACAAAGCCUCAAGUGAUCCAGAUUAUUUUAAAGAAGCAAAGAAAAACCUUUCCAGCUGUUUUUCUUACAGUAUCAUCUAUUCCAAUGCAAAGAUGUCAUCAAGAACUACUAAUAUAAGUAAUUGUUUAAUGUUUCAUAAUAAGCCACCCAGGAAAUACACUGCUUUCCAGAAAAUGCAAGCACUUCAACUCCAGGACAGAGAACCCUGGAGAUGUGAGUGCAGCCACUGGUACACGCUGGGAAAACCACACCAGAAUUCCAUAUUCUGCUUCAAUGAAAGUGCAGAGGGUUUGUUUUAG
Apteryx owenii (little spotted kiwi) is the source of this 327-nucleotide long non-coding RNA. NCBI's taxonomy places the organism in Eukaryota, Metazoa, Chordata, Aves, Apterygiformes, Apterygidae. The record is from Ensembl.